RNAcentral lists this ribosomal RNA (260 nucleotides) under Pantoea brenneri. RNAcentral's name for it is "partial 16S ribosomal RNA". It matches the Rfam family "Bacterial small subunit ribosomal RNA", at positions 231 to 483 of the family's 1533-position model. The record is from RNAcentral. Lineage: Bacteria; Pseudomonadati; Pseudomonadota; Gammaproteobacteria; Enterobacterales; Erwiniaceae.
CCAGAUGGGAUUAGCUAGUAGGUGGGGUAACGGCUCACCUAGGCGACGAUCCCUAGCUGGUCUGAGAGGAUGACCAGCCACACUGGAACUGAGACACGGUCCAGACUCCUACGGGAGGCAGCAGUGGGGAAUAUUGCACAAUGGGCGCAAGCCUGAUGCAGCCAUGCCGCGUGUAUGAAGAAGGCCUUCGGGUUGUAAAGUACUUUCAGCGGGGAGGAAGGGAUGAAGCUUAAUACGCUUCGUCAUUGACGUUACCCGCA